This 433-nucleotide unclassified non-coding RNA is filed under the name Hevea brasiliensis (rubber tree). The record is from RNAcentral. Lineage: Eukaryota; Viridiplantae; Streptophyta; Magnoliopsida; Malpighiales; Euphorbiaceae.
GCCACGCAACGUACUAAAUGAAAAAAGAGAAAAUUAACCUUGUGCCGUAAUAGCUUCCAGAACUUUCAUGAAUUAGGUCCGACGAGCGGAACAGAGAACUGAAAAGCUUGUCGUAGGAAACUUGCAGCUCUAGUAAGGAACAAGGUCGGGGUACAACAAUACACAACGAUGUUCAAGCAGUAAAGGACAUUUGGUGAAUUCAAUUGAAGAGCAACAACUACCUACAAGCACCAACAACAGCCAUGAGUAGAAGCCUCAAUUCAAGCAGAAGUAUGUCCUUUUACUGUAUUAUAUUCGACCACGCUUGCAAUAAAUGAACAACAAAGCAAGUACAGAUAUAUUAUGGUACUUCAGCUGAGGUCUCUCUACCUUUACAAGAUAAAAGGUAGGGGCGACGUUACGUACACACGUGACACCACCAUCCCCAGACCUU